CGCAGCUCUAAUGGUGGGCUAUAAGAUAGUAUGUUUAGUUCAAGAUCUUCUUAGGUUUUCCGAUGAAAGUCGGUCAAUCUAUCCUGCGAUACUUUUUCUUCAUUCCUUAUUUAGUAGCUUACCUUUUAAUUCAAUCAACACAAUGAGAUAGAUAUGUCAAAUCAAGCAACUGGCACAGUAAAAUGGUUCAACGAAACUAAAGGUUUUGGUUUUAUCACUCCUGACAACGGCGGCGCUGACCUGUUCGUUCACUUCCGUUCAAUUGCCAGCGAAGGCUUCAAAACAUUAGCUGAAGGCCAAAAGGUUUCUUUUAAUGUAGAACAAGGUAACAAAGGCCCACAAGCUGGCAACGUUACUGUAAUCUAAGAAUUCUAUAAAAAGAUCCCUUCAACAGAAGGGAUCUUUUUU
This 408-nucleotide small RNA is filed under the name Vibrio furnissii. RNAcentral's name for it is "cspA thermoregulator". It matches the Rfam family "cspA thermoregulator". The record is from Rfam by way of RNAcentral. Lineage: Bacteria; Pseudomonadati; Pseudomonadota; Gammaproteobacteria; Vibrionales; Vibrionaceae.